This 460-nucleotide ribosomal RNA is filed under the name uncultured ammonia-oxidizing beta proteobacterium. RNAcentral describes it as "bacterial SSU rRNA". It matches the Rfam family "Bacterial small subunit ribosomal RNA", at positions 202 to 644 of the family's 1533-position model. Lineage: Bacteria; Pseudomonadati; Pseudomonadota; Betaproteobacteria. The record is from RNAcentral.
AAAGUAGGGGAUCGCAAGACCUUGCGCUUUUGGAGUGGCCGAUGCCUGAUUAGCUAGUUGGUGGGGUAAGGGCCUACCAAGGCGACGAUCAGUAGUUGGUCUGAGAGGACGACCAGCCACACUGGGACUGAGACACGGCCCAGACUCCUACGGGAGGCAGCAGUGGGGAAUUUUGGACAAUGGGCGAAAGCCUGAUCCAGCAAUGCCGCGUGAGUGAAGAAGGCCUUCGGGUUGUAAAGCUCUUUCAGUCGAGAAGAAAAGGUCGCGACUAAUAAUCGCGACUCAUGACGGUAUCGACAGAAGAAGCACCGGCUAACUACGUGCCAGCAGCCGCGGUAAUACGUAGGGUGCGAGCGUUAAUCGGAAUUACUGGGCGUAAAGGGUGCGCAGGCGGCUUUGUAAGUCAGAUGUGAAAUCCCCGGGCUUAACCUGGGAAUCGCGUUUGAAACUACAAAGCUAG